This 249-nucleotide long non-coding RNA is filed under the name Mytilus galloprovincialis (Mediterranean mussel). The record is from RNAcentral. Lineage: Eukaryota; Metazoa; Mollusca; Bivalvia; Mytilida; Mytilidae.
UAUGGUAAGGGAUUGAUUUUGGGGGUUCUAUGGUUCAAUGCAAAUUAUAAGUUUGUGAUAAUCUCAAGUCUAACAUGAACCACUAAUGAAUGCUAGGUCAUUGGUAUUAUACUUUAACUUGAUUUAACGACUCAAAUAAUGACUUCAAUACUCUGCGACAAUUUGCAACAGACGAGACAUAUCUUUGUGUUAACAGUUUAUUUUAUAUUUUUCUUCCAAUUUUGAUGUGUUUUUUUUAAUCUCAGUUCU